GGAAGGAUCAUUACCGUGAUGAUGAUGAUGACGAAGCAGUCGUUUGCGCGACACUAGUCUUCGAUCACAACAUACACACACAUCUCGUACGGACAGCGCACAAGGCGAGCCCGAAAGGCUGGCCGAAAACGACACGGUUGUCGCGCGUUUCGGGGUACCUGGCCGGCGCCGUCUAUGCGCCGGGGGAGCGGCGGACGAUGACUUCGUUUUGCUUCGUCUAUUGGUGAUCCGACGGUCACCGACCGCACGGCGACGGUUCAAAGAACUAGCCGACUGCUGUUGCUACUACUACGGCAGUCGGUCCGUCGCCCCGUACGCGUAUGUUUUUUUCGUCUUAUUUUCACUACAGUCGCUAUACGAAUCGUCUUCGACGUCGGCGUUCUCGAACGUCGGCGGCGACGACCGAGUUCUGUGACAGACAAAUAUCAUAAAACUCUAAGCGGUGGAUCACUCGGCUCGUGUGUCGAUGAAGAGCGCAGCCAGCUGCGUGAAGUAAUGUGAAUUGCAGGACACAUUGAACAUCGAUAUCUUGAACGCACAUUGCGGCCUCGGGCAUUCUCGAGGCCACGCCUGUCUCAGGGUCGGUUGAAAGUAUCUAUCGCGAGUCGUCGUCUCUUGCUCGCGCAGUGGACCGUCGCGGCAACGGCGCAACAACGUUCGGUCUUCUCUUGCCGUUCGUCGUCUAGCCUGCCGUCGCGUCGUCCGAAAUUCAGACGGUUCGCGUUGCGUCUUGCGCGACGCGAUACCGCACGUCUCGAUACCGCUUCGUCGAUGGAUUCAGCGGGACGGUUGCUCGGAUGCUCUCCUCGUCUUUUGCAGAGUUCUAAGAGCCGUUGUCGCUGCUGCUGUCGUCGUCGUCGGUGAGGCGCGCUAACCCUAAACAACAACGAUUUUCGACCUGAGAUCAGACGAGAUCACCCGCUGAAUUUAAGCAUAUUAAUAAGCGGAGGAAAAGAAACUAACUAGGAUUCCCUCAGUAACGGCGAGUGAAGCGGGAAGAGCCCAGCACCGAAUCGCGCGUUCUUGCGACGCUGCGAACUGUGGUGUUUAGGACUAGCGCAUGCACGUCGGUCCGGCGUCCGAGUCCUCCUGAUCGGGGCUUUGCCAGAGCGGGUGUCAGCCCUCUACGGCGCCGGAUCGUCUUGCCCGCCACGUCCUCGGAGUCGGGUUGUUUGAUAAUGCAGCCCAAAGCGGGUGGUAAACUCCAUCUAAGGCUAAAUACGGACACGAGUCCGAUAGCGAACAAGUACCGUGAGGGAAAGUUGAAAAGAACUUUGAAGAGAGAGUUCAACAGUACGUGAAACCGUUCAGAGGCAAACGGAGAGGACCGCAAAGUCUGCUCGUCGGAUUCAAUCCGGCGGCGGCGUGGCUCGCGAGGCGUCGCUUACCCGCAAGGGGCGCGUCGCGCGUGAUCGCGUCGUCGACGGAUGCACUUUCGGCGGGCGGAGCGCCACGACCGGUUCGUCGGCGGUCAGAAGCCCUCGGGAAAGGUGACCGAUCUCGCAAGAGUUCGGCGUUAUAGACCCGGGAGGCGUUGGCCCGUCGGCGGACCGAGGAAGACUGCUCGUCGCGGUCGGUCGCGAUACCGCGGCUCCGGGCGUCCGUUCGAUCUGCGGGGACUGUCGUCAGUGCCCGCUAACCGCGGACGUUCGGUGGUCGCGGAACUCGCGGCCGGCUCGGGGUCGGUGGCGAAUCGGUCGGUUACCUGUCCGACCCGUCUUGAAACACGGACCAAGGAGUCUAACAUGUGCGCGAGUCAUUGGGUGUUACGAAACCUAGAGGCGCAGUGAAAGCAAAGGUCGAUCCUCGCGGUCGACUCGGGUAGGAUCCCUCGUCGUUUCGGUGGCGGGGGCGCACUACCGGCCCGUCUCGAACACAGCGUUGUUGAGGCGGAGCAAGAGCGUACACGUUGGGACCCGAAAGAUGGUGAACUAUGCCCGAGUAGGACGAAGCCAGAGGAAACUCUGGUGGAGGUCCGCAGCGAUUCUGACGUGCAAAUCGAUCGUCAAACUUGGGUAUAGGGGCGAAAGACUAAUCGAACCAUCUAGUAGCUGGUUCCUGC
RNAcentral lists this unclassified non-coding RNA (2062 nucleotides) under uncultured fungus. RNAcentral describes it as "sequence contains 18S rRNA gene, ITS1, 5.8S rRNA gene, ITS2, 28S rRNA gene". The stretch from base 895 to 2062 matches the Rfam family "Eukaryotic large subunit ribosomal RNA", at positions 1 to 961 of the family's 3401-position model. The record is from RNAcentral. Lineage: Eukaryota; Fungi.